AUUGAAUUUGAUUCUAGUUCAAUGGAAAUGGUUCAGGAAUAAAAUUACAUGUGAAUUUUUGUGGGAUAUAAUUUAAAUCUAAAUGGUGUAAAUUUGAUUUUAUUCGCAGUUUUUAUAUUUAAUUAUUUAAUUAAUUAAGAAUUAGUUAAUUCCAAUUAUAACUAGCUUAAUGUUGUGCCAGCGGCUGCGGUUACACAACUAGUUAAAAUUAUUUAUAUUUAAAUUUAUAUUAUUAAAGGGAAGUUUUGUUUAAAAAUUUAUUUAUUUAGGUGAAAUUUAUAUUUAUGUUUUUUAUGAAGGUAGUUAAGUUAUAUGAAAUUUUUAAUUAAAAACUAGGAUUAGAUACCCUAUUAUUAAAAAUGUAAAAUGAUUAUGGUAUUAAUAGUUAUGAUCUUUAAAUUAAAAGAAUUUGACGGUAAUUUAAUCUUUUCAGAGGAACCUGUUCUUUAAUCGAUAAUCCACGAUAAAUUUUACCUUAGUUUGUAGUUUAUAUACCUCUGUUCAAAGAAUAUUUUAUUAGGAUUAAUUAUAUUCUUUUAUUUUUAUUAAAACUGAUAACAGGUCAAGGUGUAGUAUACUAAGGAAAGUAAUGGGUUACAUUUAUUAAUUAGAUCAUGGAAUAUCUUAUGUAUAAGGGAUUAUGAAAUUGGAUUUGGUAGUAAUAACUUUUAUAUUUAAGUUGUGAUAAUUGCUCUUUAUUAAGUACAUAUCGCCCGUCGCUCUCAUUAUAAGGUGAGAUAAGUCGUAACAAAGUAGGUUUACCGGAAGGUGAACCUGGAAUUAUAAU
This 787-nucleotide ribosomal RNA is filed under the name Bannacoris arboreus. RNAcentral describes it as "12S ribosomal RNA". The record is from RNAcentral. Lineage: Eukaryota; Metazoa; Arthropoda; Insecta; Hemiptera; Urostylididae.